AUGGUGCUUCGAUUUGGUUCCUGUGGUGAAUUUGUAGUGACACUGUUACCUUCAGAAUUUGAGAUGAAACAUUUCCAGAGCGUAUAUGGAGAGCCUAGAAGCAGCAGGGGUCCGCGGAGCAGCGGAUGCGGUCGAUGGAGUAGCAGGGGCAAGGAGGUCAAGAUGGUUCAGGAAGAGUGCCUACAGAGAUUACAGAACUGGAUAGAGGUGCCUUAUGAUAGUAUAGCUAAAGAACAACAGUUUGUCUCUUCAGAAGUUUGGGUGCCUCUGUUUUGCUACUUUUUAGUUCUCAUCAUUAAGGUCCAUGGACAUUGCUAG
Molecule: ribosomal RNA, 318 nt
Filed under: Triticum aestivum (bread wheat)
Lineage: Eukaryota; Viridiplantae; Streptophyta; Magnoliopsida; Poales; Poaceae
Description: partial small subunit ribosomal RNA
Source: RNAcentral